Molecule: non-coding RNA, 30 nt
Filed under: Cricetulus griseus (Chinese hamster)
Lineage: Eukaryota; Metazoa; Chordata; Mammalia; Rodentia; Cricetidae
Source: RNAcentral
GUGAGGCAUAGACAGAAGGUGGGUACCCUG